GAAUGGAUCAUCAGUAGUCUUAUAGGCCUUGCGGGGACUUUGCAACGAGCAUGUAUGUGAUGUUAUGUUAUGUUAUGUUAUGUGCAUGCCAUUGCAGAGCGCUCUGCCUCGCCCUUUGUCCUGUGAACCUUUCUUGCCUGCGUGCCUGCGUGCCUGCUUGCCUACUUGCCUACUUGCCUACUUGCCUACUUGCCUUUUUGGUGCUUGUGUGUCUCUUUGCAUUCUUGCAUCAGAACAAGGUGGAUACAGCAGCAGCAAGGAAGAACAAUGUACCGUGAUUAUUAUUAACAAACAAACACUAUGCAAAAUUACAACAAGUGACGGCAAGGGAUCAUUUGGCUCUUGUAACGAUGAAGAGCGCAGUGAGUUGCGAAACGUGAUGCGAUACGCAAAAUCUGUGAGACAUCUAGUUCUUGAACGCAGCAUGCACCGGCGGAGCAAUUUGCCGGUAUGUCUGUCUGUGCGCGUUGACCACCCUUCCGGGCAAUGCGGGGAACAUGGCGUGGCGUUGUGUGGUUGGCGGCGAAUUAAUUUAUUGGUUGCUGCUGGCUGGCGACCCAUGCAUGCCCCUGUCCGAGGGUGUCUUGCCUGUGUCUGUCUGCACCAUUUUCAACUUUGUUGAGAUUGUGCAGGCGGGCUGGGCGUGUUUGUGCUGCAUGGCCGCAGCAUCAAUCUCCGAGUGACUGCUGUGAAUAUAUAUACUCUUUUGUGUGUGUACAGCACGCAGGCCUCUUGCACGCGUCGGCUGCUAGCUGCUAGCGGUUGGUGGUGCACAUGCGGGUGUGUGCCUGGGGGCUGUCUUGCGAGGUGUUUGCGGUGUGGAAUGUUGCUGUUGCUGUGUUUGUUCGUGUGUAUGCACUUGCUCACUUGGCUUCACUCCAUUUCACUUCAAGCCCAACUUUCUCUCCUUUGCGGCUUCCAUGCAUGCACAUGCCCACAAUAAUCUCACACGCCUCAGAUCAGAUAAGAUUACCCGCUGAACUUAAGCAUAUCAAUAAGCGGAGGAAAAGAAACUAACAAGGAUUCCCCUAGUAACUGCGAGUGAAGCGGGAUCAGCCCAGACUUGUAAUCGGUGCCAGAUUGGCGCCGAGUUGUUGUCUGGAGCCUGGAUGUGCGUGUGUCGGUGGCCGCCCUAGCUGCUUUGGAAUAGGCGGUCGCAGAGGGUGACAACCCCGUGUGGGCGGCUGCGGGCACAUCCGCGCCAGGCUACGAGUCGAGUUGUUUGUGAUUGCAGCUCAAAGCGGGUGGUAAACUCAAUCUAAGGCUAAAUAUCGACAAGAGACCGAUAGCGAACAAGUACCGUGAGGGAAAAAUGAAAAGCACUUUGAAAAAAGAGUCAAAAGCACGUGAAAUUGCCGACAUGGAACCGAUUGGGCAGGCAUAGCCGGGCAUGCAUCGGUGGUGUUGGGGCUUUAAAAGUUGUUGGCGGCCCGAAAGGGCCCGUUCAAUGGCUUACUAAAGCCUCACCCACUUUUCUAUCCUGGACAGCAUACUUUCCUAGAGCGCUCCCACCUUGCCAGCUUCGCGCUGGCUGCGGGCUGUGCUCUAUGACAUGGUUACUUUAAAUGAGCUUGCCCAAACGACCCGUCUUGAAACACGGACCAAGGAGUUCAGCAGCCAUGCAAGUGCUACAGAUACCACACUGAAGCGCGCAGCGAAAGCAAGACACACCUUUGGGUGGGUGCAUGCCGCAUCAUCUGAGUGCAAGGCCCGUGGCCAGGUGCAUCAAGAUCGAGCAUGGAUGCUGAGACCCGAUAGAUGGUGAACUAUGCCUGGGUAGGGUGAAGCCAUGAGAAAUUUUGGUGGAAGCUCGCAGCGAUUCUGACGUGCAAAUCGAUCGUCAAAUCUGGGUAUAGGGGCGAAAGACUAAUCGAACCAUCUAGUAGCUGGUUCCCCU
Molecule: unclassified non-coding RNA, 1897 nt
Filed under: uncultured fungus
Lineage: Eukaryota; Fungi
Description: sequence contains 18S rRNA gene, ITS1, 5.8S rRNA gene, ITS2, 28S rRNA gene
Rfam family: Eukaryotic large subunit ribosomal RNA (bases 950-1897)
Source: RNAcentral